AUAUAUAUAUUUGUAAAUAGAAUAUGAGUGGAAAACAGAUGAUACAUAGAAGGUCCUACCAGAAUGAAAUUAGAUUCAUGAAUUCAAAGACUGAAUAUAUUCAGUUUUAGGAUUCUGAUAUGAGCAUCACAAGUAAUCCCCCAGAUGCUCUUCCUUUCCACCCCGCCCCCCUUUCAUAUAACUGGAGACACAUUUCCCACUAAACCACUCUGCCUCACACCCUCUGCAUUGGGCUCAUUCAUUCAUUUAUACACCCAUCAAAUAUUUAACUGAGCUGAUAACAUGUGCCAGGCACUGUGCUUGGCGCUGGGGAUACAAAUGAAUACUGUAUGGUCUUUGCCUCCAGGAUUGUCCCGAGCCAGCCCUGAGCACGGGAUCACCGUGCCCUUCACAGCAGCAUACUUCCUGGCUUGCAGGGUUGGCCACAGGGCUGGGCACCGGGACUCAGUCUGAGGAACUGACAGAUGGACAAACUACUGGCUGAUUUCUGCUAGGCCUCCAGAAGGACAGAGUAGAGGGGGAAAGAUUUAGGACAUCCCGAAUCAGCUUGGAUUCCAGUAUCCUGUAUCUAGAGAAGCUCGAACCUAUUGAUCUGCUGGAAGCCACUCUCAGAGAUCUUGCUCACUCUGCUGACUGCCACCCCCAAUUCUGCCCCCAAUAUGUCCCUGGCUUCCUCACACCAACCAUCAAGUCUUUUUC
This is a long non-coding RNA of Acinonyx jubatus (cheetah), 699 nucleotides long. RefSeq lists it as uncharacterized. The record is from RefSeq and is a predicted model, not a curated record. NCBI's taxonomy places the organism in Eukaryota, Metazoa, Chordata, Mammalia, Carnivora, Felidae. The transcript is spliced from 3 exons.